CUAAUGGAGUUUUUAAACUCCACAAAUAAAAUCAGGGGUUGACAAG
Gossypium hirsutum (cotton) is the source of this 46-nucleotide non-coding RNA. Lineage: Eukaryota; Viridiplantae; Streptophyta; Magnoliopsida; Malvales; Malvaceae. The record is from Rfam.